Non-coding RNA from Puma concolor (puma), 576 nucleotides. NCBI's taxonomy places the organism in Eukaryota, Metazoa, Chordata, Mammalia, Carnivora, Felidae. The record is from RefSeq and is a predicted model, not a curated record.
AGGAUCUGAAGAAGAAGCUGAAGAAAAGCAGGACGGUGAAAAACCACUUUUGGAACUAUGAGUACUACUUUUGUGACAUGUGAGAAAUCCGUCACUGAAAGUCACUGGAGGAGGACAAGGACCAGAGCCGGGGUCUUUCCUGUUGCAGGUUGAAGUGCUGACACCCGCCGCUGACUUCAGCGGACGGCCGAUAAGGAACUUAUUUAUUGUAAUACCUCAUAGACGUCUUACCACACCCACGUACAUUUAGGAGCCUGCCUGCGGCAGGUGCAUCAUGUGAUGAGCCACACCGCCUUGGGUGAGACUGAGUCUGAUCUGUCCAUGAAUACUUGGAGCCGAGUCUUGUGCUGUAUUCCCGAUCAAAAGACUUCUUAAUAUAUUGGAAUAACACUUUUUUAGUAAGCAAAAUCUCUUUUUAUUUGCUUUGCAGGGUUGGAGGUUUUUUUUUUUUGUUUCAUGUCUCAGAUUUCUUUUGUAUUUCUUUUUUUAACAUCCUACAUUUCCCUCGUGUUUUUUAACUCACGCUUACGCGCUCUUUGUACAAUUUUAAAAAGUAAUAAAAUCCAACGUAUCGAA